This 452-nucleotide ribosomal RNA is filed under the name uncultured Rhodocyclaceae bacterium. Its description in RNAcentral is "bacterial SSU rRNA". It matches the Rfam family "Bacterial small subunit ribosomal RNA", at positions 86 to 531 of the family's 1533-position model. Lineage: Bacteria; Pseudomonadati; Pseudomonadota; Betaproteobacteria; Rhodocyclales; Rhodocyclaceae. The record is from RNAcentral.
GUCGACGAUUUGGCGGACGGGUGAGUAAUGUAUCGGAACGUGCCUUUCAGUGGGGGAUAACGUAGCGAAAGUUACGCUAAUACCGCAUAUUCUGUGAGCAGGAAAGCAGGGGAUCGCAAGACCUUGCGCUGAUUGAGCGGCCGAUAUCAGAUUAGCUAGUUGGUGAGGUAAAGGCUCACCAAGGCGACGAUCUGUAGCGGGUCUGAGAGGAUGAUCCGCCACACUGGAACUGAGACACGGUCCAGACUCCUACGGGAGGCAGCAGUGGGGAAUUUUGGACAAUGGGCGCAAGCCUGAUCCAGCCAUGCCGCGUGAGUGAAGAGGGCCUUCGGGUUGUAAAGCUCUUUCAGCCGGGAAGAAAACGCAUGGGUUAAUACCCUGUGUGGAUGACGGUACCGGAAUAAGAAGCACCGGCUAACUACGUGCCAGCAGCCGCGGUAAUAAUCUCUAGA